GACGAACGCUGGCGGCGUGCUUAACACAUGCAAGUCGAACGGGUCUGCCCUGUUUUUUGCGGGGUGGGUCAGUGGCGAACGGGUGAGUAACACGUGAGUAACCUGCCCCUCACUUCUGGAUAACCGCUUGAAAGGGUGGCUAAUACGGGGUGUUCUGGCUGUGCCGCAUGGUGUGGCUGGGAAAGAUUCACUUUUGUGGUGUUUUGGUGGGGGAUGGGCUCGCGGCCUAUCAGCUUGUUGGUGGGGUGAUGGCCUGCCAAGGCUUUGACGGGUAGCCGGCCUGAGAGGGUGGGCGGUCACACGGGGACGGGGAUACGGCCCAGACUCCUGCGGGAGGCAGCAGUGGGGGGUAUUGCACAAUGGGCGGAAGCCUGAUGCAGCGACGUCGCGUGAGGGAUGGAGGCCUUCGGGUUGUGAACCUCUUUCGCCGGUGAAGAAGGUCCUGCUCUUUGGGGUGGGGUUGACGGUAGCCGGGUUAUGAAGCGCCGGCUAACUACGUG
RNAcentral lists this ribosomal RNA (500 nucleotides) under uncultured bacterium. Its description in RNAcentral is "partial 16S ribosomal RNA". It matches the Rfam family "Bacterial small subunit ribosomal RNA", at positions 28 to 507 of the family's 1533-position model. The record is from RNAcentral.